Molecule: ribosomal RNA, 773 nt
Filed under: uncultured Neocallimastigales
Lineage: Eukaryota; Fungi; Neocallimastigomycota; Neocallimastigomycetes; Neocallimastigales
Description: partial large subunit ribosomal RNA
Rfam family: Eukaryotic large subunit ribosomal RNA
Source: RNAcentral
CGCAUCUGUGCAUGCAGCAUAUCAAUAAGCGGAGGAAAAGAAACUAACAAGGAUUCCCUUAGUAACGGCGAGUGAAGCGGGAAGAGCUCAAAUUUGAAAUCUUCAAGGUUUUACCUUGACGAAUUGUAGUUUAAAGAAGUGUUUUCUGUUGAAGUUUUGGUAAAAGUUCUUUGGAAUAGGACAUCAUAGAGGGUGAGAAUCCCGUAUUUGACCAUUAUUUUCAGCUGUGUGAUACACUUUCAAAGAGUCGGAUUGUUUGGGAAUGCAGUCCAAAAUGGGUGGUAAAUUUCAUCUAAAGCUAAAUAUUGGCGAGAGACCGAUAGCGAACAAGUACCGUGAGGGAAAGAUGAAAAGAACUUUGAAAAGAGAGUUAAACAGUACGUGAAAUUGUCAAAAGGGAAGCGUUUGACACCAGUGUUGUUUUCUCGAAAAUCAAUUAAAAAGAGUUAGAUUUUGUUGUGUAUUGACCUUAACAGCUUGCAUUUCAAUUUUCUUGCUUUUUUUAAUGCACUUUUCGUUUAACAAGUCAACAUCAGUUUCUUUUGUUGUAAAAGGGUAAUAGGAAGGUGGCUUCUCUUCGGUAGAAGUGUUUAUAGCCUUUGAUCUCUGCAGUCGGAGAGAUUGAGGUCUGCAGCGUAGACUCUUCGGGGUUAGAUACGUCGGUGCUAAGCUAUAGCUUUUCAUAGACAACUUGUUGACUAUGUUUAGUCUUGUAACUUACCCGCUCAUGCUAUUUUACCUACGCUUAGGAUGUUGAGCGCAUGUCUCUCUCU